Molecule: RNA transcript, 1374 nt
Organism: Rosa chinensis
Lineage: Eukaryota; Viridiplantae; Streptophyta; Magnoliopsida; Rosales; Rosaceae
Gene name: PRA1 family protein B4
Exons: 3
Source: RefSeq, a predicted model, not a curated record
UCUAUUUCCAUCGACCUUCCUCCGAUUCUUCAAUCACAAAUUCCCUUAUAAACACAAAAAGCUCUCUCCAGAUCUUCACAAAAAUACUUGAUACAAUUUCAGAUCCCGAUCCACCGACAAUGUCAACCACCGUCCUCCCGAUCUCCACCACCUCUGUCGCCGCCGCCGGAUCCAUCGAGUCCCAGGCCUCCCAGCCUCAGAUCGCCACCCUGGCCUUCCGCGCCUUCAUCAACCACAUCACCGACACCGUCCGCAACGGCCUCUCCCAGCGCCGCCCCUGGGCCGAGCUUGCCGACCGCUCCGCCUUCGCCAAGCCCGAGUCCUUCUCCGACGCCACCCUCCGCAUCCGCGUCAACUACCUCGCCGUCGUCGCCCUCAUCGUCGCCGUCUCCCUCUUCACCCACCCCUUCUCCCUCGGCCUCCUCGCCGCCUGUCUCUUCCUCUACCACUGCCGCCCCUCCGAUCAGCCCCUCGUUAUCUUCGGCCGGACUUUCUCCGACACCCAAACCCUAAAAGGCCUCGUCGGCCUCAGCGUCUUCAUCGUCUUCCUCACCUCCGUCGGGGUGUGUUACAAGGGAUUGAAGAGAUUUCAUACUGUGUUUGUAGAGAGCAAGGUUGCGAAUCACCUCGGAUGAAAGAAGCCAUCGACCAUCAAAACUCGUUCCUCGUGCUUCAACCCGAGACCAUGGAGAAGCUCCAGCGACAACACAAUCAGCACUGAGUAGGAGGCUGAAACCAUGGCAGUGAUUGAACCUAAGUUGAUUCCAGCAAUCGAUCCCCAGAAAGUUGAAAUAAAAUGAAUAAUAUCAAGAAUCUGAUCAAUUUCAAUUUCGGAACUGCAAAGAAGCAAUAGGACUGGAUACUGGACCAAGAAUAGAAGCAAUUGUUGACCGGAAAAAAAAAAAAAGCAAUUGAAACUCUGACUCUGAUUCCUACCCGUUGGUCCCACCAUGUCAGAAUUGCAAAGAAGCCACGCUCAGCAAAACUGAGACAAUUAAGGGGAAAGCAACCCCUCUACAGGGCACUGACCCAAAAAAAAGUGGCUGCAGCGUGGCAAUUACCUAUUGACACGCACAUGUGUGUCCUUUGGCCCAAAUAUGUCACGAAUGUGUCUGUGGCCAUUGCCAAUAAUUGUAGUAGUGUACACAUGAAGAUAUAUAGCUGGCGAAGUAUUUCGACCUAGCUUGUCGAACUUGUGGAUGAGUGUUGUGUUUUGGUGAGGGCACACAGCACACACUCGUAUUAAACCUCUCUUGUUAUGUAUCAUUUACUCUAUCGGAAAUAUGCAUAUACAUGAUAAUGAUGUAGAAAUGAUCGAGGUAGCUAGACAUCGAUAUAACUUGUAACCUGGCCAAUUUGUAGCUUUCAUUUUGA